This 207-nucleotide ribosomal RNA is filed under the name uncultured bacterium. RNAcentral describes it as "partial 16S ribosomal RNA". It matches the Rfam family "Bacterial small subunit ribosomal RNA", at positions 568 to 774 of the family's 1533-position model. The record is from RNAcentral.
UGCGUAGGCGGGUCUUUAAGUCAGGGGUGAAAUCCUGGAGCUCAACUCCAGAACUGCCUUUGAUACUGAAGAUCUUGAGUUCGGGAGAGGUGAGUGGAACUGCGAGUGUAGAGGUGAAAUUCGUAGAUAUUCGCAAGAACACCAGUGGCGAAGGCGGCUCACUGGCCCAAUACUGACGCUGAGGCACGAAAGCUGGGGGAGCAAACA